AAUUAAUUAGAUUAUAUUAGAUCAUAUAUUUUCAAAAUAUAAGGUAACUGUAAUAGUUUUUAACUG
RNAcentral lists this transfer RNA (66 nucleotides) under Paratetraonchoides inermis. RNAcentral's name for it is "tRNA-Trp". Lineage: Eukaryota; Metazoa; Platyhelminthes; Monogenea; Dactylogyridea; Tetraonchoididae. The record is from RNAcentral.